GAUGAACGCUGGCGGCGUGCCUAAUACAUGCAAGUCGAGCGAACAGACGAGGAGCUUGCUCCUCUGACGUUAGCGGCGGACGGGUGAGUAACACGUGGAUAACCUACCUAUAAGACUGGGAUAACUUCGGGAAACCGGAGCUAAUACCGGAUAAUAUAUUGAACCGCAUGGUUCAAUAGUGAAAGACGGUUUUGCUGUCACUUAUAGAUGGAUCCGCGCCGCAUUAGCUAGUUGGUAAGGUAACGGCUUACCAAGGCAACGAUGCGUAGCCGACCUGAGAGGGUGAUCGGCCACACUGGAACUGAGAAACGGUCCAGACUCCUACGGGAGGCAGCAGUAGGGAAUAUUCCGCAAUGGGCGAAAGCCUGACGGAGCAACGCCGCGUGAGUGAUGAAGGUCUUCGGAUCGUAAAACUCUGUUAUUAGGGAAGAACAAAUGUGUAAGUAACUAUGCACGUCUUGACGGUACCUAAUCAGAAAGCCACGGCUAACUACGUG
This 497-nucleotide ribosomal RNA is filed under the name uncultured bacterium. RNAcentral describes it as "partial 16S ribosomal RNA". It matches the Rfam family "Bacterial small subunit ribosomal RNA", at positions 28 to 507 of the family's 1533-position model. The record is from RNAcentral.